This 403-nucleotide ribosomal RNA is filed under the name uncultured bacterium. Its description in RNAcentral is "partial 16S ribosomal RNA". It matches the Rfam family "Bacterial small subunit ribosomal RNA", at positions 28 to 526 of the family's 1533-position model. The record is from RNAcentral.
GACGAACGCUGGCGGCGUGCCUAAUACAUGCAAGUCGAACGCAGUGGGGACGGGUGAGUAACACGUGGGUAACCUCCCAUCAGAGGGGAUAACACUUGGAAACAGGUGCUAAACCGAUACUGAUGGAUGGACCCGCGGGGCAUUAGCUAGUGGGUGAGGUAACGGCUCACCAAGGCCACGUUGCAUAGCCGACUGGAGAGGGGGAUUGGCAACACUGGGACGGGGAAACGGCCCAGAAUCCUACGGUAGGCAGCAGUAGGGAAUUUUCGGCAAUGGGCGAAAGUCUGACCGAGCAACGCCGCGUGAGUGAAGAAGGUUUUCGGAUCGUAAAACUCUGUUGUUAGAGAAGCGGUAUCUAACCAGAAAGCCACGGCUAACUACGUGCCAGCAGCCGCGGUAAUAC